Molecule: long non-coding RNA, 394 nt
Organism: Ruditapes philippinarum (Manila clam)
Lineage: Eukaryota; Metazoa; Mollusca; Bivalvia; Venerida; Veneridae
Exons: 2
Source: RefSeq, a predicted model, not a curated record
AUCUAAAUUUAGCUUUAACAUACAGGAAGAAUACGGUUAAUAUCAGCUCAUACAGCCGAACAUUCUGAUAUCGUAUUAGUUUCCAGAAUGUCACAAGAAAAGAAGAUCAGCUGCAGCAGUUCUGAAAAAGAAGAACUACAGGAUAAACAGAUAUUGAUCAACAAUGAAUUUUGUGAGGAAAAUGGAAUCGCAGACCUAACACUGAUUGUAGAGAAUCACAAAAUACCUGUUUCUAAUACAGUUUUGUGUAUAGCAUCCCCCGUUUUCCGUACAAUGCUAGAAGGUCACUUCCGGGAAAAAACAGAGACUGAGAUACCACUACCUGGCAAAAGUUACGAAAACUUCGUACAAUUUCUGAAAUGUAUUUAUCCUGACAAGACAAAAAAGGUGAAAG